RNAcentral lists this non-coding RNA (915 nucleotides) under Perkinsus marinus ATCC 50983. RNAcentral's name for it is "Eukaryotic large subunit ribosomal RNA". It matches the Rfam family "Eukaryotic large subunit ribosomal RNA", at positions 1 to 784 of the family's 3401-position model. The record is from Rfam by way of RNAcentral. Lineage: Eukaryota; Perkinsozoa; Perkinsida; Perkinsidae.
AAGGCGUGAUGUGUGUGAGAUUACCCGCUGAAUUUAAGCAUAUAAGUAAGCGGAGGAAAAGAAACUAACUAGGAUUCCCUUAGUAAUGGCGAAUGAACAGGGAUCAGCUCAGUGCCAAAUCGGAAUCACUUGUGGUUCUGAAAUGUGGCUUGAAGGCAGUACCAGUGGCAUCGCGGACGAAAGUCUCUUGGAAAAGAGCGUCAUAGAGGGUGAGAAUCCCGUGAGUCGUUCGCCGUUUGUCACGUACGGUCUGCGUUCUAACGAGUCGCGUUCCUUGGGAUUGGAGCGUAAACGGGUGGUAAAUUUCAUCCAAAGCAAAAUAUAUACUCGAGACCGAUAGCACAAAAGUACCGUGAGGGAAAGGUGAAAAGAACUUUGAGAAGAGGGUUAAAUAGUGCCUGAAAUCGUUGAGAAGGAAGCGGAUGCCGCCGUUGCAUAUGCUGAUUGUAGGAUUGCUGCUCGCUCCUGUCUUCUGCUACUCAUUCACAGACCUGGUCGUGUUGAGCAGUUGUUUGGCAGAUGUUAGUGGUGUUUCCUACUUUCAGUCGUCAGCAUCACUGGCUGAGUGGAAAUAAUCCUUGGAUGCUAAUUGGUUCGCUAUCUGUGAAUUGGUUGCUUCCUUGCGAUACUCACUACUCGGUCAGUGAGGAAGUGCGUUUGCUGGUCAACGAGCUUUCUAACUGUCAUUACCCUGCGCUUUUCGAUUCGUCGAGUGGCCAGGAUGUGGCUUUGAGAUUGUUCGCACUUAGUAAUCGCGAUGCUGGCUUCCAACGGUUGCCUCCGGCCCGUCUUGAAACACGGACCAAGGAGUCUAACGUAUGUGCGAGUGUGUGAGUGGCAAACUUAUACGCGUAAUGAAAGUGAGGCCGUAUGGCCAUGUUGGGGUCACCAACAACCGACCUUGAUCUUCGGGAA